RNAcentral lists this long non-coding RNA (1183 nucleotides) under Marmota monax (woodchuck). The record is from RNAcentral. Lineage: Eukaryota; Metazoa; Chordata; Mammalia; Rodentia; Sciuridae.
GAACUUUGUAAAAUAAGAAUAUUCAUCUUCUAAACUUUAUGAUAUUUUGAAAUAAACCAUUAUGGUCCUAUAAGUCAUCUUUAUUUCUGUAGUAAAUUAACUUUCAUCACUUCUUUUGGGACAUGGUCUUCAGAAUAGAUCCCUUUAUUCAAUUUAUUUGUUUAUGACCAGAUUUCUUCUUAUCCAGGGCUCCCUUUUAGAAACUUUACAUUUGAUGCUGUAGCCUGAGAGAUUGGUUGAUUUUUUUUUUUUUAAUUGUUUUUAGUUGCAGGACACAAUACCUUUAUUUUAUUUAUUUAUGUAGUGCUAAGGAUCGAACCCAAUGCCUCAUGCAUGCAAGGCAAGUGCUCUACCACUGAGUCAAACCCAGCCCUGGUUAGUUAAUUUUUAAUAGUCAUGUCAUUCCUUGAGCUUGUCAUGAUGGAAAUGCUUAUAUAAUUCCUGUUUCAUAAGGGCCUAUGACCUAAUAGAGAUUAUCUUCAUGUUGAUAGAAUUAAUCAGAUUUUACUAUUUCGUUUUUUCAGCAAGGUGCUUUUUAAAAAUAUUUUUUAGAUGUUGAUGAACCUUUACUUUAUUCAUUUAUUUUUAUGCAGUGCUGAGAAUUGGACACUGUGCCUCAUACAUGGCGAGAGUCUACCACUGAGCCACAACUCCAGCCCUGUAAUAACUUUUCAAAAAUAAAUAAAUUAAUUAAAUAAAUAAAGCUGUUUUAGCAUUGUCUCAUGAUAGUUAAAUAAAUGCUUGUUUUCAUGCACCUCCUUAUUUAUUGGUAGGAGAGAUGGGAAGUUUAAUAUUCUAGCUCUCAUACUUUUGCUUCAUCAGCUUUACCUCAAAAACCCUAUUCUUUGCUCUUCAUCCUGUCUGACAUUAUUUAACAGAGCAGAUUCUUAUGUUAAGCACAUUUGUGGCUGAUUCUUGUUAUUGUGACCUCACAAUUCCAUUAAAUUUUGUCAAAAGCUUCUUGCCUUUUUGGUGCAGGAAUCUACUUUCAUGAUCAUACUUAGGUCUUGUCAUCUCCUUGAAGUUUAUUCCAACUCAAAAUACUGUUCUGAUAACUAUUCAAUCCUUCUACCUCUCUUCUUUUUGAUGUUCACCAAAUCUACUCUUUGAAGCCACUGAUAGCUUGCCCUUACACUGUUCCCUUCACUUCAUCAGCUUCUUUCAGGGUUUCAUUUAUUUCCCU